RNAcentral lists this ribosomal RNA (497 nucleotides) under uncultured bacterium. RNAcentral's name for it is "partial 16S ribosomal RNA". It matches the Rfam family "Bacterial small subunit ribosomal RNA", at positions 28 to 507 of the family's 1533-position model. The record is from RNAcentral.
GAUGAACGCUGGCGGCGUGCCUAAUACAUGCAAGUCGAGCGAACAGACGAGGAGCUUGCUCCUCUGACGUUAGCUGCGGACGGGUGAGUAACACGUGGAUAACCUACCUAUAAGACUGGGAUAACUUCGGGAAACCGUAGCUAAUACCGGAUAAUAGAUGGAACCGCAUGGUUCAAUAUUGAAAGACGGUUUUGCUCUCACUUAUAGAUGGAUCCGCUCCGAAUUAGCUAGUUGGUAAGGUAACGGCUUACCAAGGCACCGAUGCGUGCCCGACCUGAGAGGGGGUUCGGCCACACUGGAACUGAGACACGCUCCAGACUCCUACGGGAGGCAGAAGAAGGGAAUCUUCCGCAAUGGGCGAAAGCCUGCCGGAGCAACGCCGCGUGAGUGAUGAAGGUCUUCGGAUCGUAAAACUCUGUUAUUAGGGAAGAACAAAUGUGUAAGUAACUAUGCACGUCUUGACGGUACCUAAUCAGAAAGCCACGGCUAACUACGUG